Molecule: unclassified non-coding RNA, 206 nt
Filed under: Hevea brasiliensis (rubber tree)
Lineage: Eukaryota; Viridiplantae; Streptophyta; Magnoliopsida; Malpighiales; Euphorbiaceae
Source: RNAcentral
UGUUUAACACAAGACCCGGCCCAACUGGUGGCCGGAUCGACCGGGAAGACGAAGGGUCGCGCGCGCUUCACGUCGCUUCGCACGACAUUUGCCGGCGUUCCAGGCGGCGGCCGACGAGCUGGGUGGCUGGGGAGGCGCGCCGGCGGGCUAGGGUGGCUGGGGAGGCGGCUGGCCAGCGAGGGGAGGUGGGAGGAGAGAGAAAACGG